RNAcentral lists this transfer RNA (79 nucleotides) under Tumebacillus sp. BK434. Its description in RNAcentral is "tRNA-Ser". It matches the Rfam family "tRNA". Rfam says of the family: Transfer RNA (tRNA) molecules are approximately 80 nucleotides in length. The record is from RNAcentral. Lineage: Bacteria; Bacillati; Bacillota; Bacilli; Caryophanales; Alicyclobacillaceae.
GGAGAGAUAGAGAUAUUGGGGCGAUCUAGAAAACCGUUAGGGGGCAAUCACCACAGGGGUUCGAAUCCCCUCCUCUCCG